GCUUGAAAGAGGUCAGGAGCUAAAGAAAGAAGAUUGAAGAUGAUUAUAUGGAAUUAUCAGUAAAUUCCUCCAUCAUUAUAGUGACGUCUAAGUGAAAAACCACAGACGAAUGCAUCUGACAGAGGAUUUCGCCAGGAGAUCAUUUCCGACAAUUCAAUCCGACAUGAAAGAGCAACAACAGUUGAAACCGACAGAAGGCUAAUCAACAGGAAGAAAGAACAAGCUAAAUCGAAACUCAGACAAGCAAACGGAGGUACCCGACUCAGCCAAAUUCGAUCCAACAAGAAAUUACCGGCGGAUUGCAUGCACAAGACUGAAACGAGAUCGAACAGCCAGCCACUCCAAUGGAGGAAGCAAUCAGACUGGCAGCAGCGGGAGGUCACCUGAUGAUGAUGGAGAAGGCGAGAGGAGAGGUGGCGGGUGGCGACGUGUCGAGAGGAGAGUGAUGAGAUUCGGUUGUGUGGCCCUGCGAUCAGUUAGCUGAUUGGGAACCCGAUCCUCAUUCCUUGGCGCGUCUCCCAAUACCCACCGCCCCCACGACAAACGGAAAC
Molecule: non-coding RNA, 551 nt
Organism: Punica granatum (pomegranate)
Lineage: Eukaryota; Viridiplantae; Streptophyta; Magnoliopsida; Myrtales; Lythraceae
Source: RefSeq, a predicted model, not a curated record